GCAGUGUGGUGGAGUGAUGUCCCCAUCCCCCAUUAGCUGGCUGAUGUGCCCUUGAGCAAGGAAAGUGCAUAGAAGAAUUUGAUUUACUGUAACAUUUUAAUGCACCGAGGCUCAGUGUAGCAGCGGUGAGGGGAGGCUGACAGUGUGGAAGCAUCAGUGAAAAGAACGACCUCACAGUUACAGGACAAUUACCCCUGAGGACGUCAUCAGCUCUCUCUUCACUCCACAGCUGUCGGUGGUGGAGUCCAAAGGCAAGACACAAACACGGGGGAAGGAAGGGCAGAGGUGGGGACAGAAGAUUCCCCACAGAAGGACUGUCAGGCUUCCAUGGAGGCUGUUUGUGCCCCCAUGACUGAGAGGCCGUGGUCCUCUGAAAAAAGGCCGCCUUUUGCAAAGGAGCUGAAUAAGGCCCAUUAUGAAGUAUCCAACAGAAAAAGCCAUCACAGCAUUUAGAUUUAUUAGGAGUUCCCUGCUUUCAGCGACGGGAGUUUCCCAGCAAGACUGUCUCCUCUCUCCUACAAACCAUGGAUCAUCGUACAGCGCCCAAGUUCUGGUAUUCACAAUUAUUAUUGUCAUUUUAUGUCUCCGAAUGGUUGCACCAGUUGCAGGUAUGUUUCCAGAGACUUAAUCCAGGACCUGAAAAAUUGGCGAUCCGUGGAAAAGGUCACACAUUCCCAACCACUCCCAGUGGGAAAACAGGAGAGUCCACACCUUCUCAGAAAAGCAGAGGCCUACUACCCUGAAAUCUGACAAUAAUUACCUCAUGGAUUUCUGCAUAUUAUAAUGCCAAACUCUUUAUCUGCAGGUCUUCACUCAGUGGUGUUCAGCCAGUCUGGACAUCAUCAGCACACAACGUAUAGGCUAUGGGACAGUUUUAACUGUAAAACCUCUACAUUUAAUGUAUUCAGUUUUUGGCAAAAUCUGCCAAAGAGCUCAGAAUUUACUUGCCUGAAUGUUUAAAAUUCCAAGUGCGAUUCAAAGCUCAGUAAAUCACAAACUGUAGGCUAUGUGUCUGUAUCGCUGAACCACCGAGCCUUUAUCACGCUGUAUCUCAAAUUCCACAAACAUAAAGAUUUAAUCAAGUGUUGCAAAAAUGUGACAGCCACGGUUUGACAGCAGUGCACUGAGAGCACAGAGGACCCAUUAGCUGCCUCUGAAUCGAUGCCAGGGCGAUCUCAGAGGCUUGAGAAUGCUGGUGAUUGCCGUAAUUGCUGUGCAGCAGUGGUAUGAUACGGAGUUGAAUAAAAAAACUUUAGCGCUCACAUGUUUCUAUAGGAACCUCUCUAACAUUGUAAAGAUGUGGUCUUAGUUUACUGACAGCCUGUACGCUCAGCUUUUAUGGUACAAGCAUGACUGAAAUGGUUUGUGUUAAAUUUGAUUGUUCUACAGCUCUGGAAUAUAUGUUAAGAGACACAGAAACAGCGGUAGACAAAAUAAUGGAAAUAUUUUAAGAUAAAUUGCUUUUACUGCUAGCAUGGCGACAGAUGUGGGUCAUAUUAAGUUGCUGAUUAGCUGAAAUUUGGAACAAUGUGCUAUAAAUUUACAACAUACUGUAUCUCCAUUGGUUAGCUUCAGCUGGUGAAUGCCAUAUUCCUUUUCUGCUGCAGUUUGUCUGUGUUUACCACAUGUUAUUCUGAUUUCUCAGAUUGUUCCUAUUCCAUUUGUUUUGUUUCCUGCACCUGUACUUUAGCCACAGAAGACUUGGCCUCUUUAGAGCUCAGUUAAUUGUCUCCUAUUGUGUCGAAACUUUGAAAGUGAUACCAAAGAAUUGAUUGCCAGAUCCCUUUUAUAGCUGACAGAUGCUGCUGACUGGUAUUCAACCUCAGAUGACCCGUGUCUGAAGCAGCGUUUGCAAAUGUGAUUAAAGUACCGGCGGAAUCAAGCUCCUUUCCAUGUUUAUAUUGUGGUGUCUUCACCCUUUGGAUAGAUAGCACACCUAGUAUCUAUUUUAUCAAGGACACUGCUGUGUAUAAGCAUAAGGAAUCAAGUUGACGGAUUCAGUAUAACUUAAUAUCCAGCUCUUUUAAGUCUGAGACUAUUAGUCAUCAAGAAUUCACAUUUUUUUUAUUGUUAUUUCAUUCCUAAACCCUACAAACAAACUAAGGUGGAAGAUAUUUUAAAGUUAUUUGAUAUUUUAGAUUUAUAAAAACAUGUUUCAGUUUGACACUCCAUGGAUACAGAAAUGCGUUACUCUCUGAGGCUGAACCCAGGGUAUUUUGACCCAGAGUUAUUUUCUAUAUGUUAAAGUUUAAUUAUUUACUCAAAUAUGGUUAUUCUGACCCAGUGCUAAACAGUUUUUACAUUUUUAGGAGUUUCACAUUAAAACUGUCUCCAGUAUAUUUUGAGCUGUUCA
Molecule: long non-coding RNA, 2353 nt
Organism: Scatophagus argus
Lineage: Eukaryota; Metazoa; Chordata; Actinopteri; Scatophagidae
Exons: 6
Source: RefSeq, a predicted model, not a curated record